Molecule: ribosomal RNA, 305 nt
Filed under: uncultured bacterium
Lineage: Bacteria
Description: bacterial SSU rRNA
Rfam family: Bacterial small subunit ribosomal RNA
Source: RNAcentral
CCUACGGGAGGCAGCAGUUGGGAAUAUUGGACAAUGGAGGAAACUCUGAUCCAGUGACGCCGCGUGAAGGAAGAAGGUCUUCGGAUUGUAAACUUAUUUUAUCAGGGAAGAAAAAAGUGACUGUACCAUCAGAAGAAGGACCGGCUAAUUCCGUGCCAGCAGCCGCGGUAAUACGGAAGGUCCGGGCGUUAUCCGGAUUUAUUGGGUUUAAAGGGAGCGUAGGCCGGCUUUUAAGUCAGCUGUGAAAGUCCGCGGCUCAACCGUGGAAUUGCAGUUGAAACUGGAGGCCUUGAGUGCACACAGGG